GGGAGUGUAGCUCAGUGGCAGAGCAUUCGACUGCAGAUCGAGAGGUCCCCGGUCCAAUCCCGGGCGCUCCCU
This is a non-coding RNA of Penaeus monodon (black tiger shrimp), 72 nucleotides long. NCBI's taxonomy places the organism in Eukaryota, Metazoa, Arthropoda, Malacostraca, Decapoda, Penaeidae. The record is from the annotation of a RefSeq genome assembly.